CUGCCUCUAUAAAUAGAUUUUGCAAGACGUUUGUUGUAACCGCCUCGGUUAAUAAAAAAUGACCGCCUCGGUUAAUGCUAGGCAUUAAUAAUGCUAGGCAUUAACCGAGGCGGUUUACAUUUCUGCCCUCCUCGAAAAGUGUUUUAAAAAAGUCGCGGUAAAUAUUUUUUUGUAGUAGUGACUACUGCAAUGCUCUGAACAAACUUCUAUACAUUGUUCAAUCCUCAGGCCCAAGUUUGUCACCGUCAGUGACACUGAGCUUCUCUGUAAUUGACAAAGGAGUGUCAACAAGUUUGGACUUAUCCAUCCCUAACCAUCUUAGAAUAUCUGCAGCAUACCUCUCUUGCGAAAGCACCAGGCCCUGUAAAUUUUGAUUGACUUCUAUUUCUCAUUCUGUCAUUCAUGGGUUGACUACCCUAUGUGGCGCAAACAUAUAGUUGGAAGCAUUAGCUCAUAUGAUGAAUCUGGACUCAUACUCAUCAGACGAUGGGCCAAAUUAUGAACAGCCCGUCUAAGCCCAUAUACACCCUCAAAAAGAAAAAGGCCCCUAUAAGAAAUUAAUAAAUGCACGUAUCUGGUGAGAUUUGCACUCAAAAGAAUGAAAAAAAAAAACGUAUCUGGGUGGGGCAUCCCCCACCUCCACCAAACAAAAGAAUAUCCGAUCGCGCGCGCUAUAAAAAUGGAAAGCUUCCAAAACCUGGUUCCUCGCGAAACCCUCAGACGUCAGCAGUCAAAAAGCCAGUACGCUCCUGUCUCCCUUUCUUUCUCCAUUUGCUUGGCAGCUAGCUAGGGCGGCGCUCCCAUUCCAGCAGUUCGCCCAUCGCCGCCGCCGCCAGAUUCUUUGCUGCUCGUCUCGUCCG
Molecule: long non-coding RNA, 860 nt
Filed under: Sorghum bicolor (sorghum)
Lineage: Eukaryota; Viridiplantae; Streptophyta; Magnoliopsida; Poales; Poaceae
Description: long non-coding RNA (SBIC_LNC003333)
Source: RNAcentral